Molecule: ribosomal RNA, 73 nt
Filed under: Providencia stuartii
Lineage: Bacteria; Pseudomonadati; Pseudomonadota; Gammaproteobacteria; Enterobacterales; Morganellaceae
Also listed under: 1 other name
Source: RNAcentral
UCUGGCGGCAAUAGCGCGGUGGUCCCACCUGACCCCAUGCCGAACUCAGCAGUGAAACGCCGUAGCGCCGAUG